This 202-nucleotide long non-coding RNA is filed under the name Capsicum annuum. RNAcentral's name for it is "long non-coding RNA (CANN_LNC013242)". The record is from RNAcentral. Lineage: Eukaryota; Viridiplantae; Streptophyta; Magnoliopsida; Solanales; Solanaceae.
GCCACAUACAAAUGACCCGACAGAGUGUAAUAACAUUACACACUAUUUUCAAUUGACUUUUCAUUUUCCACAUCAGUCCCAAGACCAUUCUUUUGUGAAUUAUUCUUGUUCUUGCUCCUCUUUGUUCAUCAAUCAUUCCUAGCCAAGAAUCUUCUUUGCAAAAAGGUAAGAUCUUAUUAUUUCUUUUCUUGAAGCAAAUUGU